This 65-nucleotide transfer RNA is filed under the name Olidiana ritcheriina. RNAcentral describes it as "tRNA-Asp". Lineage: Eukaryota; Metazoa; Arthropoda; Insecta; Hemiptera; Cicadellidae. The record is from RNAcentral.
UUAAUUGAAGCCAAAAUAGAGGCAUUUUAUUGUUAAUAAAAAAAGUGAUACAUAAUCCAGUUAAA